CAGUUAUUAGGGUAUAUAAAUACCUCAAAACCUCCCACACAACAUUCAUUCAAAAAUACACAGACACCACUUCUUACUCUAAAUUUUCCCUCCUCUGCUCAUUACUCUCCUAUUAUGCUAGUUUAAGGGUCCCUUGAUCUUACAGGCAGGGACGAUAGAGAAAUCAAACCAAAUCUUUUUCAACCAUGAAAGUCCAACAUUCAAGCCCAAACAUCUCAGUCCAUUUGCAGCCGUGGAAAGCCCAAGAUCCAUUUUGAAGUUUCAGUGACUCAUCGGUACAAGAUGCUAUUUUUCUGACAUGAUUUUAUUGGUUAUCAGUUUAAUGAGAUUCAAUGUAGUGAGCAAGCAGUUUAUAUGGAAAUUGGUUAGAUAAAAAGUCCUGUUUCCAUGAUGAGGUGGUGACAUGGAUUUUCACUGCCUUAUGUCGUUAGAAAUUCUAUUUUUCUCAUUACAUUCUGCUUGAUGAACAUACUUUGCGUGCAGCCAUGUCUGGCUUUCCAAAUUUCUGGCGAAUUCUCUCUCUGGACGUUAACACAAGCUAGCUAAAUGGAAUCCGAAACUGCUGCACAGCUUACUUUGCCGAGUUUACAGAUGUUGGAUUUGCUGGCCUAUCAAGGUCAUUAAACUCCGCUCAUUAAACAAAACGUUCUGCAAUCUUGCUUCUCGUUGAUAUUGAACUUCCCUACUCCAUGCUUGUGCCCCAUCUGACCAUGUUCGGGCCCCGACUUGCAUUUACCUUUAUGAGCAGAGGAACACUUUCUUAGUGAAAGUGAUGUUCAUGAUGAGAGAGUUGAAGAUGAGUUUUAACGACUCAUUAACUAUUAUGUGCAUAAAUCUGCUAAAACCUUGUUUACCAUGAUGCCUGCGAAAAAAAAAGGAUCAGCAAGCUACAUUGAUCCCCUUUACCAAUAUGAUUGCCUAUAAUGACAUUUUUUUCCUACAUAUCAUAACGUCGUUACAGAUUUCUUUGUUGUUGUAGUGAAUAUUAUAUGUUUACAAGGAAAAUGUGAUGGAAUGAUUAACCCUAAUUUAGAUAGUGAAUAUAAAUAGACAUUCUAUAUUAUGUUUGGUUUCCAACAUCCUUGCAACUUCCCUUUCUUGACCUUCGGACUCAAACUUUUUUUUUACGAAUGGAUAAAUUUGAUUUAUAAAGGACAAAAACAAGAGCCAAGCACAGCUACAAAGCAGAAUAAGAGGAAGGGAACAAGCCGACUACAAGCUACAGGCAACUGUAGUUCUGGAUUACUGCAAAUAGAAUGAUAGCUAAGAGUUUUCAAUUGCAUAUGUACAGAUCAAUAUGUUGCUUUCUACAUCUGAGAUUCUUGUCCACUGACAGCUUCCAUCCAUGCUCUAUUUAGUGAGUUUGCAGUUAUGUUGGACUUCUGGCCUAUCCAGAUCAUUUGAUUCUGCUCUUCAAGCAAAAGGUUCUCCAAUCUCACUUCUCGAUUUAUGUUGGACUUCUUAAUAUGUGCCCAUCUGAGCCAGUCAGUCUCCCAAGCUGUAUUAAUUUGUGAGCAGAGGAAAACAUGAGGGUGAAGUAAAAAAGAUCAUGAUCACAGAGUUGAAGAUCAGCAAAUCAGGACUUACUGCUAUGGCUGUGCCGAGCAGAGGUUAAACUAUAACCACACAUUUGGAUAAACAGCUCCAGAAUUUGUGAUGACAGUUAUGACUCUGUGGACUGAAGAUUCACAUCCAGAAUACAAGGCUUUACCAUCAGGGUGGGUAUUGAAUGCAUGGUAUGCUGGGGAGAUGGCAGAGUAUAUGUCACAGGAGUAUCUAGUAUAAUCUGCUAUAACCUUGUAAGAAAGGAGGCCAACGUUGCUACAUAUUCUGCAAAAUGAACUGGAUCAACCAACUUCUUUGAGUCCCUUGAUGUAUGUUAGUCUGUACGGAUCAGAAGUCAAUAC
Long non-coding RNA from Populus trichocarpa (black cottonwood), 1907 nucleotides. RefSeq lists it as uncharacterized. The transcript is spliced from 2 exons. NCBI's taxonomy places the organism in Eukaryota, Viridiplantae, Streptophyta, Magnoliopsida, Malpighiales, Salicaceae. The record is from RefSeq and is a predicted model, not a curated record.